GCGUGGGAAAUAACUAUGGCUGUAAACCGUAAAAUGGGUAAUUAAAACCCCCAACGUA
RNAcentral lists this transfer RNA (58 nucleotides) under Bugula neritina. Its description in RNAcentral is "tRNA-Tyr". Lineage: Eukaryota; Metazoa; Bryozoa; Gymnolaemata; Cheilostomatida; Bugulidae. The record is from RNAcentral.